This 233-nucleotide ribosomal RNA is filed under the name uncultured bacterium. RNAcentral's name for it is "partial 16S ribosomal RNA". It matches the Rfam family "Bacterial small subunit ribosomal RNA", at positions 15 to 229 of the family's 1533-position model. The record is from RNAcentral.
GAUUCUGGCUCAGGACGAACGCUGGCGGCGCGCCUAACACAUGCAAGUCGAACGGGGUUAUACGGGAUGAAGUUUUCGGAUGGAAUUCUAUAUAGCCUAGUGGCGGACGGGUGAGUAACACGUGAGCAACCUGCCUAUCAGAGGGGGAUAACGAUUGGAAACGAUCGCUAAUACCGCAUGACAUAGCGAAGAGGCAUCUUUUUGCUAUCAAAGAUUUAUCGCUGAUAGAUGGG